AUGAACGCUGGCGGCGUGCUUAACACAUGCAAGUCGAACGAAGCACAGGAAUGGAUCCCUUCGGGGUGAAGCUCCUGUGACUGAGUGGCGGACGGGUGAGUAACGCGUGGGUAACCUGCCUCAUACAGGGGGAUAACAGCUGGAAACGGCUGCUAAUACCGCAUAAGCGCACGGUAUCGCAUGAUGCAGUGUGAAAAACUCCGGUGGUAUGAGAUGGACCCGCGUCUGAUUAGCUGGUUGGCGAGGUAACGGCUCACCAAGGCGACGAUCAGUAGCCGACCUGAGAGGGUGACCGGCCACAUUGGGACUGAGACACGGCCCAAACUCCUACGGGAGGCAGCAGUGGGGAAUAUUGCACAAUGGGGGAAACCCUGAUGCAGCGACGCCGCGUGAGCGAAGAAGUAUUUCGGUAUGUAAAGCUCUAUCAGCAGGGAAGAAGAAUGACGGUACCUGACUAAGAAGCACCGGCUAAAUACGUG
This 479-nucleotide ribosomal RNA is filed under the name uncultured bacterium. RNAcentral's name for it is "bacterial SSU rRNA". It matches the Rfam family "Bacterial small subunit ribosomal RNA", at positions 29 to 507 of the family's 1533-position model. The record is from RNAcentral.